RNAcentral lists this unclassified non-coding RNA (240 nucleotides) under Hevea brasiliensis (rubber tree). The record is from RNAcentral. Lineage: Eukaryota; Viridiplantae; Streptophyta; Magnoliopsida; Malpighiales; Euphorbiaceae.
AGACCCAGCACCCACACCGACUCCAACUGCGGGACCAACGUAAAUGCCGCCACCACCACCACCCAACGGCGAUGGCGCGUAGUACGGCACCGAGUAUGAAAACCCUGAACUGGACGUAUGAGGAACUGAAUAGCUUCUAGACGAUAAUGAAGAUGACUGGGAAAAAGACCUCCCACCCAUUCUCCCACCGGAGGCAGCAAAUGCACAAUUAGGGUUGUACAUCAAUAAAAGCCCCACUAA